GGGGGCGACACGGCUUCGACGGGGAUAAAGACUCGCGGGAUGCAUGCCGAGCUCCAUUGACUCGUAAAUCCGAUGGGACAUCCGUUAACUGCGGAUAAUCAGUACGCUCUCGCAGCCUAAUACGCUGUGAGCGUCUGCCCUGACCUCGCCUGGUGGUCAGGGGCCAGAUGCCAUUAAGCAGGCUGGCGAUCGGGCGGCGUCUCGGCGCCCGAUCGCGAGAACUCACCGAGACUGGUGCCUGGCGGUUUUGAGCCGCUUCCUCACGCCGGGCAUGAGAAAACAGA
This 284-nucleotide transfer-messenger RNA is filed under the name Acidobacteriota bacterium. Its description in RNAcentral is "Acidobacteria bacterium partial transfer-messenger RNA". It matches the Rfam family "transfer-messenger RNA", at positions 1 to 301 of the family's 374-position model. Rfam says of the family: Bacterial tmRNA, also known as 10Sa RNA or SsrA, is named for its dual tRNA and mRNA-like properties. Lineage: Bacteria; Pseudomonadati; Acidobacteriota. The record is from RNAcentral.